RNAcentral lists this ribosomal RNA (447 nucleotides) under Bradyrhizobium japonicum. Its description in RNAcentral is "bacterial LSU rRNA". It matches the Rfam family "Bacterial large subunit ribosomal RNA", at positions 1 to 409 of the family's 2925-position model. Lineage: Bacteria; Pseudomonadati; Pseudomonadota; Alphaproteobacteria; Hyphomicrobiales; Nitrobacteraceae. The record is from RNAcentral.
AAUCAAGUGCCUUAAGGGUGUUCGGUGGAUGCCUUGGCGCUGAGAGGCGAUGAAGGACGUGCUACGCUGCGAUAAGCCGUGGGGAGCUGCGAAGAAGCUUUGAUCCGCGGAUUUCCGAAUGGGGAAACCCACCUUCGAUAGCCGGAACUCCAAGACCUUAGGUUUUGGGGUUUGACCAGAAAUGAUCGGGACCAUGACCGCAAGGUUUUGGAUUUCCGGUUAUCAAGAGAAGGUAUGAGACUUCUGAAUACAUAGGAGGUUUCAAGCAAACCCAGGGAACUGAAACAUCUAAGUACCUGGAGGAAAGGACAUCAACAGAGACUCCGUUAGUAGUGGCGAGCGAACGCGGACCAGGCCAGUGAUACAUCAAAGACAAUCGGAACCAGUCAGGAAAGCUGGGCCUCAGAGGGUGAUAGCCCCGUACGAGUAAUGCGAUGAUGUAUCCAC